AACGCACAUUGCGCCCUUUGGUAUUCCUUAGGGCAUGCCUGUUCGAGCGUCAUUUGUAACCUCAAGCUCAGCUUGGUGUUGGGUGUCUGUCCCCGCCCCGCGCGGGGACUCGCCUCAAAAACAUUGGCGGCCGGUACGUUGGCUUCGAGCGCAGCAGAAACGCGAACUCGAGGCCCGACGGAUCGGCGACCAGAAGUCACUUCUUCCACAGCUUGACCUCGGAUCAGGUAGGGAUACCCGCUGAACUUAA
RNAcentral lists this unclassified non-coding RNA (250 nucleotides) under uncultured fungus. RNAcentral's name for it is "partial contains 5.8S ribosomal RNA, internal transcribed spacer 2, and large subunit ribosomal RNA". The record is from RNAcentral. Lineage: Eukaryota; Fungi.